CCUACGGGAGGCAGCAGUGAGGAAUAUUGGACAAUGGGCGCAAGCCUGAUCCAGCCAUGCCGCGUGCAGGAAGACGGUCCUAUGGAUUGUAAACUGCUUUUGUACAGGAAGAAACACUCCCUCGUGAGGGAGCUUGACGGUACUGUAAGAAUAAGGAUCGGCUAACUCCGUGCCAGCAGCCGCGGUAAUACGGAGGAUCCAAGCGUUAUCCGGAAUCAUUGGGUUUAAAGGGUCCGUGGGCGGUUUAAUAAGUCAGUGGUGAAAUCUGGUCGCUCAACGAUCAAACGGCCAUUGAUACUGUUAGACUUGAAUUAUUAGGAAGUAACUAGAAUAUGUAGUGUAGCGGUGAAAUGCUUAGAUAUUACAUGGAAUACCAAUUGCGAAGGCAGGUUACUACUAAUGGAUUGACGCUGAUGGACGAAAGCGUGGGGAGCGAACAGGAUUAGAUACCCUGGUAGUCCACGCCGUAAACGAUGGAUACUAGCUGUUCGGAGCAAUCUGGGUGGCUAAGCGAAAGUGAUAAGUAUCCCACCUGGGGAGUACGUUCGCAAGAAUGAAACUUAAAGGAAAUUGACGGCUGAGAGNGCGAGACGACGACGAGGAGGAGG
This 608-nucleotide ribosomal RNA is filed under the name uncultured bacterium. RNAcentral's name for it is "bacterial SSU rRNA". It matches the Rfam family "Bacterial small subunit ribosomal RNA", at positions 338 to 947 of the family's 1533-position model. The record is from RNAcentral.